GCGGUCCACUACAACCAUUAUGUUGCUGCAGCCUUCGGACUUGGGUAGUGAUGUGAUGAAGUCCAUGGAAAUGCUUUCCCAUGGCCUCUCUGCAAUAGGCAAUGGCUCCAAAAGACCCGCUGGUGGGCGUUGUUCAACCUUGUCUUGGUGGCACACAAGACAAGUUUUUACGUAUAGCUCCACGUCGUCCCGCAUGUGGAGCCAAAAGUAUGCUCGUUCAAUCAGCGCCAUCGUCCUUUGGACUCCAGGAUGGCCUGCCCAUCUGGAGUCAUGACUUUCCCGGAUGAUCUCCUUCCUUAAGCCUCCCCAUUUUGGCACAUCAACCCUAUUUCCCUUGGUGAGGAGCAGCCCGUCCUCUAGCCAAAACUCGCGUGUCUUUCCUUGACGUGCCAAUUCCAACAAAUUUUUGGCUUGCGGGUCAUGUUCCAGCCCCUCUUUGAUGCGAUCCACUAUAGGGAAAUUUGGGCUUGUGAUGGAGGCAAGUUCGGCCUUUCUGCUCAGUACGUCGGCCACAACAUUUCCCUUGCCCGGCUUGUACUCCAUCACGAAAUCAAAUUCUGCUAAGAAAGCUUGCCACCGAAUUUGUUUUGGUGUAAGCUUCUUCUGCUUAAAAUUCUAGAGUCUUCUACUCCAUCACGAAAUCAAACUCUGCUAAGAAAGCUUGCCACCGAGUUUGUUUUGGUGUAAGCUUUUUCUGCUUAAGGAAGUAACUGGUGGCAACAUUAUCCGUCCUUACGAUGAACUUGCUGCCCAGGAGAUAAUGUCUCCACGUCCGUAAACAGUGCACUACGGCGGUCAUCUCUUUUUCUUCGACCGUGUAGCGUUUUUCUGUAUCAUUUAGCUUACGACUUUCGUAAGCCACAGGGUGCACUUCUUGCAUUAGGACGCCUCCCAGGGCAAAGUCAGAGGCGUCUGUCUGCACCUCGAAAGACUUGGUAUGGUCGGGCAAAACCAAUACCGGCUCCUUGAUCAUGGCGGCCUUUAACUCCUCAAAUGCUGUUUGGGCCUUAUUAGUCCACUCCCAGGUCCGGUUCUUCUUCAGUAGAUCUGUGAGUGGCGCGGUGAUGGAAGAGUAGCCUUUGAUGAACUUCCGAUAGUAGUUAGCCAAGCCAAGGACAGACCAAAGUUCUGGAACUUUCUUCGGCGGCUCCCAAUUCUGUAUUGCCUGAAUUUUGGACUCAUCCAUCCGUAGCUUUCCCUCACCAACAAUGUGUCCUAAGAAGGAGACUU
This 1230-nucleotide long non-coding RNA is filed under the name Nicotiana benthamiana. Its description in RNAcentral is "long non-coding RNA (NBEN_LNC020379)". The record is from RNAcentral. Lineage: Eukaryota; Viridiplantae; Streptophyta; Magnoliopsida; Solanales; Solanaceae.